UACGUAGGGGGCUAGCGUUGUCCGGAUUUAUUGGGCGUAAAGAGCGUGUAGGCGGCCAGGUAGGUCUGGUGUGAAAACUCGAGGCUUAACCUCGAGAUGUCAUCGGAAACCAUUUGGCUAGAGUCCGGAAGAGGAGAGUGGAAUUCCUGGUGUAGCGGUGAAAUGCGCAGAUAUCAGGAAGAACACCAAUGGCGAAAGCAGCUCUCUGGGACGGUACUGACGCUGAGACGCGAAAAGCGUGGGGAGCGAACAGG
RNAcentral lists this ribosomal RNA (254 nucleotides) under uncultured bacterium. RNAcentral describes it as "partial 16S ribosomal RNA". It matches the Rfam family "Bacterial small subunit ribosomal RNA", at positions 524 to 776 of the family's 1533-position model. The record is from RNAcentral.